GCCUGGGUGGCUCAGUCGGUUGAGCAUCCGACUUCGGCUCAGGUCAUGAUCUCACAGUCUGUGAGUUCGAGCCCCACAUCAGGCU
RNAcentral lists this transfer RNA (85 nucleotides) under Felis catus (domestic cat). It matches the Rfam family "tRNA". From Rfam's summary of the family: Transfer RNA (tRNA) molecules are approximately 80 nucleotides in length. Their secondary structure includes four short double-helical elements and three loops (D, anti-codon, and T loops). Lineage: Eukaryota; Metazoa; Chordata; Mammalia; Carnivora; Felidae. The record is from Rfam by way of RNAcentral. RNAcentral also lists the same sequence under 1 other name.